Molecule: ribozyme, 116 nt
Filed under: Aedes aegypti (yellow fever mosquito)
Lineage: Eukaryota; Metazoa; Arthropoda; Insecta; Diptera; Culicidae
Description: drz-agam-1 ribozyme
Rfam family: drz-agam-1 ribozyme
Source: Rfam by way of RNAcentral
UGCCCAGCAACUCCUAUCCCUACCUCCUCGUGGUACUGGCCGGGGUACGAGUAACCUUGGGGAAGAUCGGGUAACCAACCCCGGUGGGAACUCUGGUCGUAUGCUGACAGGGAAGA